RNAcentral lists this ribosomal RNA (400 nucleotides) under uncultured bacterium. RNAcentral's name for it is "bacterial SSU rRNA". It matches the Rfam family "Bacterial small subunit ribosomal RNA", at positions 359 to 776 of the family's 1533-position model. The record is from RNAcentral.
GAAUAUUGGACAAUGGGGGAAACCCUGAUCCAGCAAUGCCGCGUGCGUGAAGAAGGCCCUAGGGUUGUAAAGCGCUUUCACCUGCGAGGAUGAUGACAGUAGCAGGAGAAGAAGCCCCGGCUAACUCCGUGCCAGCAGCCGCGGUAAUACGGAGGGGGCUAGCGUUGUUCGGAAUUACUGGGCGUAAAGGGCGUGUAGGCGGCGGAACAAGUCAGGCGUGAAAGCCCCGGGCUCAACCUGGGAGGUGCGCUUGAUACUGUUUUGCUAGAGUCCGGGAGAGGCGAGUGGAAUAUCCAGUGUAGAGGUGAAAUUCGUAGAUAUUGGAUGGAACACCAGUGGCGAAGGCGGCACGCUGGACCGGAACUGACGCUGAGGCGCGAAAGCGUGGGGAGCAAACAGG